This 325-nucleotide long non-coding RNA is filed under the name Brachypodium distachyon (stiff brome). RNAcentral describes it as "long non-coding RNA (BDIS_LNC005312)". The record is from RNAcentral. Lineage: Eukaryota; Viridiplantae; Streptophyta; Magnoliopsida; Poales; Poaceae.
CUCAUCGAGAUCCAGGACACGCUCAGGUCCACGCCCGCCGAGAACAAGACCAUGAAGAAGGCGUCCUUCUACGGGCUCGCCAUGACCACCGUCUUCUACCUCUUCCUCGGGUGCACGGGCUACGCCGCCUUCGGGAACGACGCGCCGGGGAACAUCCUCACGGGCUUCGCCUUCUACGAGCCCUUCUGGCUCGUCGACGUAGCCAACGUUUGCGUCAUCGUGCACCUCAUCGGGGCGUACCAGGUGUUCGCGCAGCCGAUCUUCGCCAGGGUGGAGUCCUACGUGUCGGGCAAGUACCCGGACGCCAAGUUCAUCAACGCCGUCU